GAGAUCGGGAUAACACCUGGAAACAGAUGCUAAUACCGGAUAACAACAGAUGAUGCCUAUCAACUGUUUAAAAGAUGGUUCUGCUAUCACUCUUGGAUGACCUGCGGUGCAUUAGCUAGUUGGUAGGGUAACGGCCUACCAAGGCGAUGAUGCAUAGCCGAGUUGAGAGACUGAUCGGCCACAUUGGGACUGAGACACGGCCCAAACUCCUACGGGAGGCAGCAGCC
Molecule: ribosomal RNA, 227 nt
Filed under: uncultured Lactobacillus sp.
Lineage: Bacteria; Bacillati; Bacillota; Bacilli; Lactobacillales; Lactobacillaceae
Description: partial 16S ribosomal RNA
Rfam family: Bacterial small subunit ribosomal RNA
Source: RNAcentral